UACAGAGGUCUCAAGCGUUGUUCGGAUUCAUUGGGCGUAAAGGGUGCGUAGGCGGCGCGGUAAGUCGGAUGUGAAAUCUCAGGGCUCAACCCUGAAACUGCAUUCGAUACUGCCUGGCUAGGGUACUGGAGAGGAGACUGGAAUUUACGGUGUAGCAGUGAAAUGCGUAGAUAUCGUAAGGAAGACCAGUGGCGAAGGCGAGUCUCUGGACAGUUACCGACGCUGAGGCACGAAGGUCAGGGGAGCAAACGGG
This 253-nucleotide ribosomal RNA is filed under the name uncultured bacterium. RNAcentral's name for it is "partial 16S ribosomal RNA". It matches the Rfam family "Bacterial small subunit ribosomal RNA", at positions 524 to 776 of the family's 1533-position model. The record is from RNAcentral.